UAAUUUCACCGCACCUCCGCUUCCAAGUUAGCGAGCACUUGCUUCCUUCGCUGGUUAUCUCCUGUCUCGAGCUAAGUUUGCUAAUUCGGACCAAACCCUAGAGGGCCUAAUCCUCAAUCGCCAAAUUGUUCCAACUGCUCUGCAAUUCACCACUCUCACUCUAAACCCAUUCCCGAUUUUCGCUCCCUCACCAAAUUAAUAAGCUUCUUUUUAUUUUCUCUGCCAAUUUUGAAUCCUCACCGUAGCCAUGGACGCUCAGAGAGCUCUGCUAGACGAACUCAUGGGUGCAGCUCGUGAUCUGACUGAGGAAGAGAGAAAGGGGUACAGGGAAGUUACGUGGGAUGAUAAGGAGGUUUGUGGUGCCUACAUGGUUCGUUUUUGUCCGCACGAUCUUUUUGUCAAUACGCGGAGUGAUUUAGGACCAUGCCCUAGGAUUCAUGAUCAGAAGUUGAAAGAAAGUUUUGAGAAGUCCCCUAGGCAUGAUGCCUAUGUGCCCAAAUUUGAAGCUGACCUAGCUCAGUUCUGUGAGAAAUUGGUGAUGGACUUGGACAGAAGGGUGAGGCGUGGUCGGGAACGCCUUGCUCAAGAAGUAGAACCGGCACCAGCAACUCCCUUGACAGCUGAAAAGUCUGAACAAUUAUCGGUGCUGGAGGAAAAGAUAAAGAACUUGCUGGAACAAGUGGAAACUCUUGGUGAAGCUGGAAAAGUGGAUGAAGCUGAAGCACUCAUGAGAAAGGUGGAUGUUCUUAAUGCUGAGAAGACAGCUUUGACUCAACUGCCCCAGAAUGAUAAAGUGUUGAUGCUGGCACAGGAGAAGAAGAUGGCCCUCUGUGAGAUCUGUGGUUCCUUUCUUGUAGCCAAUGAUGCUGUAGAGAGGACACAAUCUCAUGUUACAGGAAAGCAGCAUAUUGGUUAUGGCAUGGUUCGGGAUUUCAUCAGUGAGUUCAAGGCGGCCAAGGAGAAAGCAAGAGAGGAAGAAAGAUUAGCUAGGGAAAAAGAAGCAGAAGAGCGGAGGAAGCGGAGGGAGAAGGAAUAUGAGAGUAGGAGAAGGGGUGAUUCGGGUGAAAGGGACAGGCAUCAUGACAGAGAUCGAGAUAGGGAACGGGACAGAUAUCGAGAACGAGAUUAUGAUCGUGAAAGAUCUAGAGAGUGGAAUGGUAGAGGUAGUCGGGAUGGAGGAAGAGGCGGGGAUUGGAAGUCUAGGAAUGGAAGAGAAGGAGGCAGGGAUAGGAACCGUGACAGGAGCAGGUCACGCUCCCCUGUUAGGCAUGGUCGCAGGAGGUCAUCUAGAAGUCCAGUUCGCCCGUAUUAGUGAAAUUUGUAGAUAGUUGUCUGAGCUUUGAAAUUUAAUGAGGUAGAUCUUUUACAUCUCAAAAGUUUUAUGAACAUGUGCUUUUGGAGCCUUGAGUUAACUUGUCAUCAUGGGUGAAACUUUUUUGUCCUUAUCACAGCUUUGUUGAGACUAUAUCAUCUCCCUUUCAUCAAUAUUGUUAAUGGAGAAAAGGGUUGGAGAGUCUCGUAUCCCUUAUUUGGGGAAUCGUUUGGCUCUUUGUUUUUUGUCCUCACAUAUUUUACAAAUCAGACUUCAAAUUAUAUGAAUACCCGAGACAGAUGCUGGAGAGAUAUUGAUUUUUUCAUUUAAUGAGGUAACAUGCAAAUCUCAUUUAUCCUGUCGUAACCUCCUUGAUCAUUUUUUCUUACCAUGGAUUAUAACCUCAUCUAUGCUCAAAAAAUAAUAUUAACAAUAAUAACGGAAGAUACGGUUUUCAGUAUAAACCAUUCUGUACAGUGCCUGGUUAUUUGGCAAAUGUUUAGCCCUGGAGGAACCAGGAGAUGCCGAUUAGAGAAUUUGGAUGGUCAAUGGAUGUUCUCCACGAAAGCUUAUAAGUAGUUGGUAUAGAAUUUCAUACUUGUUUUAAUGUUUUGUGAUUUAAGCAGUAAUAGGAAGGCCAAUGAACAUGAGAACUGGGAUGAUAGACCAGUGGAAUCAUGUCAUUCGAAAGUAAGGUAAAUUCUUAAGUAGCAAUUUCAAAAUCAGGAUGGCUCAGGAAGUUAUUGGUAAUUAUUUGGUCUUUGUCGUAUUGGAAUGACUUUCUGGCAGAAAUUACGUCGGAUUCUGCAUGGAAUUUUCUGGAAUUUGAGGUCAUUCCUUAUUGCAUGUGUUAGAUAUGCAGUUGUGGGUGACAGGAAGUAACUGAAGGUUAGAAUCUGCUAAGUAGAAGAGUACUUCUCUUAAUUUUGAAUGGCAGGUAACUUUGCAAAAACUUGAUGGUCCGUCUUUAUGAGUAGUUGACAAACGAGAGUCUCUCAAUAAGGGCUUGUUUGUGCAGGGGAACUAAUUUUUACCUUUCCACUUUGCUGAACCAUAUGGAAAAUGAGAAACCAAAUGCAAUUGAAAUUGACUGGAGACAAUUUUGUAUUCAUUGCAGAAAACUUUGUAUGAUUGACAAUUAUAAUAUUAUUGUCGGCCUUGCCUUUUUAUGUUUUCAA
Ziziphus jujuba (common jujube) is the source of this 2490-nucleotide RNA transcript. RefSeq lists it as uncharacterized. The transcript is spliced from 8 exons. The record is from RefSeq and is a predicted model, not a curated record. NCBI's taxonomy places the organism in Eukaryota, Viridiplantae, Streptophyta, Magnoliopsida, Rosales, Rhamnaceae.